GGGCUGUCAAAAAUUGCGCACAGCCUUCAGCCGUCCAGUCUGUGGAGUAAGCAGACUAAUCCAUCAGACAAACAACACGCAAGAUUAACCUUUUUUUUCUUUAUUUCCUUGUGUCUUUUUAUUUUAUUUUAUUUUUACCUUAGCGAAACUCAUUUUUGCCUGCGCACCCGGAAGCGUGUUUUAAAAUCACGAUAAUUUUUGUCACAUGGUUUUGGAGAAUUCAAUAACAACAAAAAAUGGCGACAAUCACGUUGCUCUGUGUGGUCUUGCUGCGUCAUUAAAAAUAUUCAUGUAAACACGGGAAAAUAAACGCAGGGAUUGCAGUGCCCUGUGCAUCGGGGUCUAAUGGAGUUGUUUACAUGAAGUGCAGAGGGCGGACUGAAGAGAAGGAGGAGGAGCCGCUACGUCGGCCAGCGACACCGACUGCUCGAGAGGCUUCUCGUGCGGAUGGGAGGGGCGGAGCCGCGACAAGAAUCAUAACAAGUCUUGACAUCACUCAACCUUGUGUUUGGUAUGAAUAAAAUACAGUAGUGUGCUUCGACAGAGUCCCAGAAGGAGCGAAACAUUCUUCUAACUGCGUUAUGAGAUGAAGAGCUUUCUGUCCUGCAGAAAAAUGGAAGAAAAAACAUUUAUUUCAUGUAGAAAAAAAGGGCUUUCAUGUAGAAUAUCAUUGACCUUAAAUCAGUGUUCAUGAUUGUGCAUUAUCAACAUUUAAAACUGAUUGUUCAGACUUAAAAAAAAAAAAAACGAAGUUAUAUUGUGCAUUUUUUAAAAUAGUCUAAUUUGCUAUUUAAAGACUGGGUGCACCACAGUCAUGUGAUAGGAGGCCUAUGCAUGAAAACAUCCCAUAAACAUGUUCAUUAUCAUAUGGACAAAAAUUAUUAAAUAAUUAUAAUAAUAAUGAUAUAAUAAUAAUUACAUGCUUAUAAAGUAUAAUCUCUGUAUUUUCAAAAAGCAUAAAUACAUAGUAAUAUAAGAACUAAAGUUAUAACACUGAAGACAUUUCUGUUCAGGCACUAUGUUGACACAAUUUGUUCUCUGGAAAAAAAUAUAUAUUUAUUCUCACUCUAA
Long non-coding RNA from Melanotaenia boesemani (Boeseman's rainbowfish), 1071 nucleotides. RefSeq lists it as uncharacterized. The transcript has 2 exons. Lineage: Eukaryota; Metazoa; Chordata; Actinopteri; Atheriniformes; Melanotaeniidae. The record is from RefSeq and is a predicted model, not a curated record.